UACAGAGGGUGCAAGCGUUGUUCGGAAUUAUUGGGCGUAAAGGGUGCGUAGGCGGCGCGGUAAGUCGGGUGUGAAAUUUCGAGGCUUAACUUCGAAACUGCAUUCGAUACUGCCGUGCUUGAGGACUGGAGAGGAGACUGGAAUUUACGGUGUAGCGGUGAAAUGCGUAGAUAUCGUAAGGAAGACCAGUGGCGAAGGCGGGUCUCUGGACAGUUCCUGACGCUGAGGCACGAAGGCCAGGGGAGCAAACGGG
This 253-nucleotide ribosomal RNA is filed under the name uncultured bacterium. RNAcentral describes it as "partial 16S ribosomal RNA". It matches the Rfam family "Bacterial small subunit ribosomal RNA", at positions 524 to 776 of the family's 1533-position model. The record is from RNAcentral.